AUGAAGAUUCUUCAGUUCAAGAUGAAGAUGAUCAUCUCCACCCUCUACCUGAUCUCAGGCCCAGUGUGCUGCUCUGAUGUGCUUGUCUACUCAGGAGGAAGUGUCAUUUUAUUCCCUAAUCUACAGUGGGAUGUAAACCAUGCACGAUAUAUUUGCAAGAUGGAGCAAAAUAGCUGCCUAGAAAUCAUAAAGGAUCAGAGUAAGAGCAAGUCUGUCACUAGCGGGAGGUUCACGAUCUAUUCAAAUACAGCAGGCAACUUUACAGUGUUGAUCAGAGAGCUGCACCCACAGGACUCUGCCGUCUACAGAUUUGGAGUUGGGAACGAAAAGCAUAAGGACGUUGAGCUGACCAUUCAGAGUGAUUCUUGUUGUGGGGGAAUUAAAAGAAUGAAAGCUUAUCUGGGAGAGACGGCCACCUUCAAAUGUAGCUAUCCAGAUGAGCUGAAGACAAACAACAAUGGCUUUGAGCUUCAUAAUGCGCCACACAUUUUCAAUGGGAGACAGGUCUGGCCUGCAGGCAGGCCAGUCUAGUACCCGCACUCUUUUACUACGAAGCCACACUGUUGUAACGCGUGCAGAAUGUGGCUUGGCAUUGUCUUGCUGAAAUAAGCAGGACGUCCCUGAAAAAGACGCUGCUUGGAUGGCAGCAGAUGUUGCUCCAAAACCUGUAUGUACCUUUCAGCAUUAAUGGUGCCUUCAUAGAUGUGCAAGUUUGAAAUGUGGACUCGUCAGACCACAGGACACUUUU
Pygocentrus nattereri (red-bellied piranha) is the source of this 748-nucleotide long non-coding RNA. The record is from Ensembl. Lineage: Eukaryota; Metazoa; Chordata; Actinopteri; Characiformes; Serrasalmidae.